Molecule: unclassified non-coding RNA, 348 nt
Filed under: soil metagenome
Description: partial contains 5.8S ribosomal RNA, internal transcribed spacer 2, and large subunit ribosomal RNA
Rfam family: 5.8S ribosomal RNA (bases 1-120)
Source: RNAcentral
GAUGAAGAACGCAGCGAAAUGCGAUAAGUAAUGUGAAUUGCAGAAUCCAGUGAAUCAUCGAAUCUUUGAACGCACAUUGCGCCCGCCAGUAUUCUGGCGGGCAUGCCUGUCUGAGCGUCAUUUCAACCCUCAUGCCCCUAGGGCGUGGUGUUGGGGAUCGGCCAAAGCCCGCGAGGGACGGCCGGCCCCUAAAUCUAGUGGCGGACCCGUCGUGGCCUCCUCUGCGAAGUAGUGAUAUUCCGCAUCGGAGAGCGAUGAGCCCCUGCCGUUAAACCCCCAACUUUCCAAGGUUGACCUCAGAUCAGGUAGGAAUACCCGCUGAACUUAAGCAUAUCAAUAAGCGGAGGA